UACAGAGGUCCCAAGCGUUGUUCGGAUUCAUUGGGCGUAAAGGGUGCGUAGGCGGCGAGGUAAGUUGGAUGUGAAAUCCCGGGGCUCAACCCCGGAACUGCAUUCGAUACUGCCUUGCUAGAGUUCUGGAGAGGAGAUUGGAAUUCACGGUGUAGCAGUGAAAUGCGUAGAUAUCGUGAGGAAGACCAGUGGCGAAGGCGAAUCUCUGGACAGAUACUGACGCUGAGGCACGAAGGCCAGGGGAGCAAACGGG
Molecule: ribosomal RNA, 253 nt
Filed under: uncultured bacterium
Lineage: Bacteria
Description: partial 16S ribosomal RNA
Rfam family: Bacterial small subunit ribosomal RNA
Source: RNAcentral